UGUUUAAUACGUGCCCUUUGUAGUUUGCAGGAAGAUCUCCACCCUCCUCCAACAAGAAGUACACUGCCAUCCCUCCUAAAUCCAGGACUCGCAUCAAAAACAGACUGAUGGGAUGCUGUUGUGACAAGAGGAGAGGACAGGAUUGCCCACUGGAUGAGGAGUUGUGGAGCAGUACUCAAGGAAAUCCCAUCGAUCAGACCGAUUCAGCAGAGGUAUGAUUGGCAUCACAUUCAG
This 234-nucleotide long non-coding RNA is filed under the name Gallus gallus (chicken). Its description in RNAcentral is "long non-coding RNA NONGGAT004694". Lineage: Eukaryota; Metazoa; Chordata; Aves; Galliformes; Phasianidae. The record is from RNAcentral.